RNAcentral lists this ribosomal RNA (440 nucleotides) under uncultured bacterium. RNAcentral's name for it is "partial 16S ribosomal RNA". It matches the Rfam family "Bacterial small subunit ribosomal RNA", at positions 338 to 795 of the family's 1533-position model. The record is from RNAcentral.
CCUACGGGUGGCAGCAGUGGGGAAUAUUGCACAAUGGGGGAAACCCUGAUGCAGCGACGCCGCGUGAGCGAUGAAGUAUCUCGGUAUGGAAAGCUCUAUCAGCAGGGAAGAAAAUGACGGUACCUGACUAAGAUGCCCCGGCUAACUCCGUGCCAGCAGCCGCGGUAAUACGUAGGGGGCAAGCGUUAUCCGGAUUUACUGGGUGUAAAGGGAGCGUAGACGGUCCUGCAAGCCAGAUGUGAAAUGCCGGGGCUCAACCCCGGGUCUGCAUGUGGAACUGUAAGGCUAGAGUGUCGGAGAGGCAGGCGGAAUUCCUAGUGGAGCGGUGAAAUGCUUAGAUAUGAGGAGGAACACCAGUGGCGAAGGCGGCCUGCUGGACGAUGACUGACGUUGAGGCUCGAAAGCGUGGGUAGCAAACAGGAUUAGAUACCCUAGUAGUC